AGGGCGGAGCCCUGGCAACCACCCAGCCGCCUUCAGGCGCAGCUCUGCCCGGCCGGGUCUGCCCUGCUGAGUUUCCGCACACACCAGAGCGGCUCACGUGGUUUCUGACGUUAUAAGAGAGAGUGGCGAGGUGAGGCCCAGGCCCGUGAGAUGGGCCGGGGGUCUUCCGGGACCCAGCAGUCCAUCGUCCCUCCAUUCAGGGCUCCUCGUGAGGCAAGAGAGCCCAGACACAACUGGACCUCCUUCCCCGUCCUUGACUGACGUCUCUUGGGACCUCUCUUUCCAGAUCGAAAACAGGCCGGCAAAGCUUGGAAUUACCUGUCCCAGAGCAGGAGUCCAUGGAGCUGGGCCACCAAGCAGACACUGGCAAACCCCGCUGCUGUCCAUCGGCCUUCUCUGAAAAAGAACCUGGAGGAAUCUGAAUGCCCAGCUGCUAAAUCCUGCCCCAUUGGUCGGUCUCCCACCGGAAGUCAAUCCCCAACACAGUGGU
Molecule: long non-coding RNA, 490 nt
Organism: Suricata suricatta (meerkat)
Lineage: Eukaryota; Metazoa; Chordata; Mammalia; Carnivora; Herpestidae
Exons: 3
Source: RefSeq, a predicted model, not a curated record